RNAcentral lists this ribosomal RNA (505 nucleotides) under uncultured bacterium. Its description in RNAcentral is "partial 16S ribosomal RNA". It matches the Rfam family "Bacterial small subunit ribosomal RNA", at positions 28 to 507 of the family's 1533-position model. The record is from RNAcentral.
GACGAACGCUGGCGGCGUGCCUAAUACAUGCAAGUAGAACGCACAGUUUAUACCGUAGCUUGCUACACCAUAGACUGUGAGUUGCGAACGGGUGAGUAACGCGUAGGUAACCUGCCUGGUAGCGGGGGAUAACUAUUGGAAACGAUAGCUAAUACCGCAUAAUAUUAAUUAUUGCAUGAUAAUUAAUUGAAAGGUGCAAUUGCACCACUACCAGAUGGACCUGCGUUGUAUUAGCUAGUAGGUGAGGUAACGGCUCACCUAGGCGACGAUACAUAGCCGACCUGAGAGGGUGAUCGGCCACACUGGGACUGAGACACGGCCCAGACUCCUACGGGAGGCAGCAGUAGGGAAGCUUCGGCAAUGGACGUAAGUCUGACCGAGCAACGCCGCGUGAGUGAAGAAGGUGUUCGGAUCGUAAAGCUCUGUUGUAAGAGAAGAACGGGUGUGAGAGUGGAAAGUUCACACUGUGACGGUAUCUUACCAGAAAGGGACGGCUAACUACGUG